RNAcentral lists this long non-coding RNA (409 nucleotides) under Erythranthe guttata (spotted monkey flower). RNAcentral's name for it is "long non-coding RNA (EGUT_LNC001860)". The record is from RNAcentral. Lineage: Eukaryota; Viridiplantae; Streptophyta; Magnoliopsida; Lamiales; Phrymaceae.
CUUCUAUACAAUUUCAUGGCCUAAAGAAAUGGAUAAACUCUUUGUUCAAACAUUAAAAGCUGAAGCGAUGAAAAACGUUGCUUGUAUAGCUACCAAUUCACAUGAUAUUACUAUUGCACGGCGCAUCGUAAACAUCGACUUAGGUACAAACAUCUCAUACGAGACUAGCAUGGCAAUGUUUAAUAAGUUAAAAACAGGGUACUCUGUUUUUCUCCACAUUAUUUCUACAUCCGGGGUUUACAGGGAUAAAACGACAAAUAUUGUUCAUGCCCCUACUGGAAUUUGGAAAAUAUGGUUGAAGGUAAAUUUUAUUUCAUAAUUUUUCAUUUUAUGAUAUCUCAUACCAUUGUUUAAUUUAUGUUUUGUGUUAUAUAUGAUCGUUUUCAGAAUAUGCCAAUGUCUAAAGCUU